UUGCAUUCAACUCGAUCUUAGAAUCACAGACAAUUUUGUUUGCACAACGAUGAACUAUCAAUGGAGACUACAAAUAAGAAUAUCACGGAUUCCAGACAGCCUAGAGCAUGGUUUUCAAAGGGGACAUAGUGGAAGAUAAAGGCACAAGACGUUGUUCCAGGCUCAUUUAAAACUCUCUCUGCCUCAGCCCUAGAAUCAACCAUUGCUUCAAGGAGCACUGGAUUCAUUCGUUCAGUGAGGGUCAUUGGUGCCUUGCUGCUGCUGUUUUCACUGGUGUUGCUGCCUGGAGUACCAGGAUG
Molecule: long non-coding RNA, 299 nt
Organism: Balaenoptera ricei (Rice's whale)
Lineage: Eukaryota; Metazoa; Chordata; Mammalia; Artiodactyla; Balaenopteridae
Exons: 4
Source: RefSeq, a predicted model, not a curated record